RNAcentral lists this small nuclear RNA (95 nucleotides) under Capra hircus (goat). RNAcentral describes it as "U2 spliceosomal RNA (ENSCHIG00010021220.1)". It matches the Rfam family "U2 spliceosomal RNA". Rfam says of the family: U2 is a small nuclear RNA (snRNA) component of the spliceosome (involved in pre-mRNA splicing). Complementary binding between U2 snRNA (in an area lying towards the 5' end but 3' to hairpin I) and the branchpoint sequence (BPS) of the intron results the bulging out of an unpaired adenosine, on the BPS, which initiates a nucleophilic attack at the intronic 5' splice site, thus starting the first of two transesterification reactions that mediate splicing. Lineage: Eukaryota; Metazoa; Chordata; Mammalia; Artiodactyla; Bovidae. The record is from Rfam by way of RNAcentral.
AUCGCUUCUCGGCCUUUUGGCUAAGAUCAAGUGUAGUAUCUGAACUCACCGAUUCCUCCUCUUUUGCUGGCUCCAUUUCUUCUACUGGACCUCUA